RNA transcript from Vigna radiata var. radiata (mung bean), 3409 nucleotides. It is a transcript of the gene named probable serine/threonine-protein kinase At1g54610, with no coding region annotated. The record is from RefSeq and is a predicted model, not a curated record. Lineage: Eukaryota; Viridiplantae; Streptophyta; Magnoliopsida; Fabales; Fabaceae. The transcript is spliced from 9 exons.
GAGACAUUGACACACCUCAACCAUAACUCGGUUAUUAUAGGUACAGGUCUUUGCUAACCUUUUGGUUCUUCUUUCAGUCAAAAUAAAUACAGAUACCAUCAUGGGUAUGAGAGAGAAGUUGAAAAAGAAGGGAGAUCCACCUUCACAUUUUUUUUUUCUCUUUCUCUCUCUAAAACAUUCCUUUCUUUUCACUGAUCUUUGAAUCUGGUAAGACUCAACUUCAACCGUUUCUGUUCAACUUUGAUCUUCCUCCAUAUCACAGUGUCAAAGGGAGAAAGAAAAUUUAAAAAAGACCCACCUUAAGGGGAAAAAAAGGAACAGUGGUUUUGGUUUCUUUGACUGCACCACAAAUUGUGGGGUGUCUCCAAAUCAUUGCUAUCUCACUUUUGUCUGCCAAAGUUAGGGUCUUUAGAAUUAGUGUUUGCUUGCACAGUCUAGCUUUUCGAGAUUUAUGAUUAGGGUUUUGGAGGGGUGAGUGGUUGUGGAUGGUGUUGGGAUGGCGAGAAAGUGAGGGAAAAUGUGGCUGGUGGUAGUGGGGAGAGUAAAUGAGAGAUUUUGAGAGAUGGGGUGUGCGUUUGGGAGAGAGUCUUCGAGGGAGGAGAGGAGAGAGGAAGUGAGAGAGGCAAAAGCUGAGGUGAGUAGAGCAGAGGUUGUUGAGAAUGAGAACAUUGAGAAGGAGAAGGAGAAGGAGGGUGAAAGAGAGGAGAAGAGGACAAGGGCAAGGGGAGAGAGGAGGCGAUCUUCGAAGCCGAAGCCGAAUCCGAGGUUGAGCAACCUACCUAACCAUGUUCACGGUGAGCAGGUUGCAGCAGGGUGGCCCUCCUGGCUCUCUAAGGUUGCUGGUGAAGCCAUCAACGGAUUGACGCCUCGGAAAGCUGACACCUUUGAGAAGCUUGAUAAGAUCGGGCAAGGUACAUACAGCAAUGUUUACAAAGCUAGGGAUUCUUUGACGGGAAAAAUUGUUGCUCUAAAGAAGGUCCGUUUUGACAAUUUAGAGCCUGAAAGUGUGAAGUUCAUGGCUAGAGAGAUUUUGAUUCUCCGUCGUCUAGAUCAUCCCAAUGUCAUCAAACUUGAAGGCUUAGUGACUUCUAGAAUGUCGUGCAGUUUAUAUCUUGUAUUUGAAUACAUGGUGCAUGAUCUGGCUGGACUGGCCACAAACCCGGCAAUUAAGUUCACGGAAUCUCAGGUAAAAUGUUACAUGCAUCAGCUAUUUUCUGGACUGGAGCACUGUCACAACCGUCAUGUGCUGCAUCGUGAUAUAAAGGGGUCAAACCUUCUUAUUGAUAAUGAUGGAAAUCUUAGGAUUGCUGAUUUUGGAUUAGCUUCCUUCUUCGAUCCUCAUCACAAGCACCCUAUGACUAGUAGAGUGGUUACAUUAUGGUAUCGACCUCCAGAACUUCUUCUUGGGGCCACUGAAUAUGGUGUAGGAGUGGACCUCUGGAGUGCUGGCUGCAUUCUUGCUGAAUUAUUGGCUGGAAAGCCUAUUAUGCCUGGUCGAACGGAGGUGGAACAACUGCACAAGAUAUUUAAGCUAUGUGGUUCUCCUUCUGACGAAUAUUGGAAGAAAUCGAAGUUGCCUCAUGCUACCAUUUUUAAGCCCCAACAGUCAUACAAGCGGUGUAUUGCAGAGACGUUCAAAGAUUUUCCUCCAUCAUCCCUGCCGCUUAUUGACACCCUUCUCUCAAUUGAUCCGGAUGAACGUUUGACUGCCACUGCUGCGUUGCAUAGUGAAUUCUUUACAACAAAACCAUAUGCCUGUGAUCCCUCUAGCCUUCCAAAAUAUCCUCCCAGCAAGGAGAUGGAUGCAAAGCUACGGGAUGAAGAAGCUAGAAGAUUGAGAGCAGCCGGUAAAGCUAAUGUUGACGGUGUCAAGAAAUCUCGUCCACGAGAGCGAGCUGGGCGAGGAAUUCCAGUUCCAGAGGCCAAUGCUGAACUGCAAGCAAAUAUUGAUAGACGGCGGCUGAUCACACAUGCAAAUGCUAAGAGCAAGAGUGAGAAAUUUCCUCCUCCUCACCAAGAUGGAGCUCUAGGCUAUCCACUGGGUUCUUCACAUCACAUGGAUCCAGUUUUUGAUCCUCCUGAUGUUCCAUUUAGUUCCACAAACUUCUCACAACCUAAAACAAACAUCCAAACCUGGUCAGGCCCAUUGGUAGAUCCUUCUAAUGGGGGCGCACCAAGGAGAAAGAAGAAACAUGGAAAAUGAUGCCCUUCAUAUCAUCAAAGGAAGACUUAAAAAAACAAGAAUGCUUUAAGAGUCAAAGAAUAUUCUUGUUGUAUAACACCAAUCAUUUUUUAGAAGUAUUCAUGAUGAAGCUGCAAAUCUUGCUGACAUGAUGUCUGCCCUCCAGUUGCUAAAGCCAACGACAUUGGAGUGAAAUUAUUUCUAUUUGGUUGGUGGUGCUUUGGAAGAAACAUCAGAAAAUCAAUCAUAUCUAUUACGUUUGCAUUUAGAUCACUGGAUGGACGUGGCAAUCGUCUAUAAUCAAAAAGUAAAAUUGGAAUUAAAUGGUUUAUACACACGCGCGUCAAUCAAUAGUAAGUUUUUUUUCAGAGAAAUUUUCUCUACCUUUUUGAAGAUUCAUCGUCUGCUAAAGUUUGUGCUUUUUCAUGAGAUCAAACUUGCUGUAAGACGGAGUUGACCUUUAAAUAUAGAAUGUUUAAAAAUUUGAAGGAAAGUCUUUGAAAGUCUUGACAAAAUCUAUGUUAAACUGGACCAGUAUACCAUGAAAAAUGCAAUACAAAUUGUUUGUUCGAUUGAGUUACGCAAUACUAUUGACUAUUGUCCACAGCAUUGAGUGGAAAGAAAUCAAGGUUCUUAAUUAGAGUUAGAACCGACACCAUCUUACUUUCUUUUCCUUCUUCCCUUUAUGUGGGGUUGAUUGGGUGAAAUGGUUGGCCACUGUUUGAGUUGGUGUGGGAUGAGACAGAGGAACGUGCCUAGGCGAGUUCAGCUACCCUUCCACGUCAAGUUUGAUGAAUGAUCAUGCUCAUCUCUUAACUUUUCUACACCAAAAAAAGUUUUUCAUUCAUUGCGGAAACAUGUUGCCAUUUAUAAUUCAUGUCUCCCCCCACGACAGAAAAGGGUAGGUUGAAUAACCGUUGUGUCUGAGUGACAGUUAAGGUGUCUUAAGAACACUGUGGCAACAACCAAUCAAAUACAUUGGUUGCCAAAUGUCUAUAAGAUCCAACCCUGUCGUUUCCUUUAAGAGAAUUUAAGUGCGUGACAUCCUCAACAAUAGUAAAUAGGUAUGUGGUUGGUUCAUCUUGAGCAAGCAAGGUAAGAAUGAGACGAGCAGAGGAAGCAGGUUCAGGUUCAUAUCCCGGACCACCUUCGCUUCUUGCCAACUUCUUCAAUGGACUCCGUAGUUCCAUAUGCUCUUGUUUCUAUGUAGUAUGCUGUUGCUGCUUG